Long non-coding RNA from Erinaceus europaeus (western European hedgehog), 566 nucleotides. RefSeq lists it as uncharacterized. The transcript has 3 exons. The record is from RefSeq and is a predicted model, not a curated record. NCBI's taxonomy places the organism in Eukaryota, Metazoa, Chordata, Mammalia, Eulipotyphla, Erinaceidae.
GAGAAAGCUUAAUGUCACCCACCUUGCCAGCUGGUGGGAGGAUAAGACAAGAUAAUAGAUGGAUAGAUCCCGACAGAAAGAAUAAUGACCACAAAAAUAAAGCUUAGAGUGCAGUAGAGGCUGGACUCAGACCUUUGAUCUAUUCAUGACAAAGCAGGAAUCCUUCCAUUUGAAGAUGCUACCAUGAUGCCAACCUGACUUCCCUGGGCAGACGACUUCACCAAUGUGUCCUGGAAUCCCACCUCUCCAGAUUCCUGCCCCACUAGGGAAAGAUAGAAACAGGCUGGGGGUAUGAAUCAACCUGCCAAUGCCCAUGUCCAUCAGAGAAGCAAUUAUAGAAGCCAGACCUUCCACCUUUUGCAUUCCACAAAGAUUUUUGAUCCAUACUUCCAGAGGGACAGAGAAUAGGGAAACUUCCAAUGGAGGAGAAGGAGCAUGAACUCUGGUGGUGGGAAUUGUAUGGAAUUCUAUCCUUUUUAUCCCACAAUCUUGCAAUAAUUAUUAAAUCACUAAUAAUAUAAAUAAAUAAAUAAUGGACUGGUCAGGUUGAUUGUUUCCUUUUAAUA